CGUGACUCUGCCCCAUUUCCUGUGGGCAGUGGAGCAUCUUCCGUUCACUGUCUGUCAGCCUGGCUCCUUUGCUCCUUCCGGGCCCUCCCCACCCCUCCUCGGGGCUGUACUCAUUCACCCCGUUGGUGUUGACUCUUCAAAGACCCCUCCUGGGCUUCCCCUAAGUACUGGGGUUGAACUCAGGACCUUGUGCUUGCCAGGGAAGAAAAAUUCUUUAAGCAAAAAGGAAGGUUCAAUAAUCCAUUUGCACAAACAGUAAGAAUGCCAGAGGAGGAGCUAAAUUUUCCAGACCUUCAGAAAAACUGACAAACUGAUUCAAGCUUGAACUUUCAGAUCUGACAUCCUUAUGAAAUGCUUUUGAUACUGUUUUGGAAAUGUUCAUUACAACUGAAGCCUCUAAGCCUGCUCCUACUACCCUAGGUCAAGCACUUGUACUGUGUCAGCACCAGAGC
Molecule: long non-coding RNA, 452 nt
Filed under: Fukomys damarensis (Damara mole-rat)
Lineage: Eukaryota; Metazoa; Chordata; Mammalia; Rodentia; Bathyergidae
Description: lncRNA (ENSFDAG00000026143.1)
Source: RNAcentral